UUUGAACCCCAACAUCUGCAUUUUUAUUAUUUACAAAAACAACGCUUCAUACCUCUCGAUUUAUCCAUAAAACCUAGGGGUAAGAUAGAUUAUUUUUUUAAUUAAAACUUGUUACAUUGUUUACACAUAAUAUUAAUAAAAUAAUUUGUUUACAAACUACAAUGUUUACCCAUAAUAUUACAUUAUUUACACAAAAUAUUAAAAUAAAA
This 209-nucleotide long non-coding RNA is filed under the name Lathyrus oleraceus (garden pea). RNAcentral describes it as "Pisum sativum (pea) long non-coding RNA (PSAT_LNC013554)". The record is from RNAcentral. Lineage: Eukaryota; Viridiplantae; Streptophyta; Magnoliopsida; Fabales; Fabaceae.